Molecule: ribosomal RNA, 184 nt
Filed under: uncultured bacterium
Lineage: Bacteria
Description: partial 16S ribosomal RNA
Rfam family: Bacterial small subunit ribosomal RNA
Source: RNAcentral
CCUGCAUGAAGUCGGAAUUGCUAGUAAUCGCGGAUCAGCAUGCCGCGGUGAAUACGUUCUCGGGCCUUGUACACACCGCCCGUCACACCAUGGGAGUCGGUAACACCCGAAGUCUGUAGCCUGACGCAAGAGGGCGCAGCCGAAGGUGGGAUUGAUGACUGGGGUGAAGUCGUAACAAGGUACC